Long non-coding RNA from Dermacentor silvarum, 410 nucleotides. RefSeq lists it as uncharacterized. The record is from RefSeq and is a predicted model, not a curated record. Lineage: Eukaryota; Metazoa; Arthropoda; Arachnida; Ixodida; Ixodidae. The transcript is spliced from 3 exons.
AGAGUUUCGACAGCAGGUGUUACGGGCGGAAGUGGUUAUUAUUGUGCUCACGGAAAGCUACCUGGAGUCCAAGGCUUCCCAACAGCAGGCGUGCUAUUGUCUCUUACGAAAGAAAGUGGUGGUUGUGGGCUGCACCGAAAAGGAAGUGCCAGUUUCAAUCCAGAAGCGCUUGCAAUUUGCGACUAUUGUGAACAAACGGGAAUCUGACGACUGGGAAGGCCAGUUGCUUGAGAGGAUUACCAGACUCUUGAAGCAACCUGAAAAACCAGUUUUUGAUGCAAGUUUGGAAGAAACGACGUAUUUGGUAUGCUUCCAUUGUGAUUGCUUCAUUUCUGUAGGAAAGAUGUUCCUAAAUUUUGGGUUUGCCGCAGAAAGUUUCCACAGACUUAUGUUUUGUUGCACAAGUGUCG